RNAcentral lists this long non-coding RNA (286 nucleotides) under Physcomitrium patens. RNAcentral describes it as "long non-coding RNA (PPAT_LNC010436)". Lineage: Eukaryota; Viridiplantae; Streptophyta; Bryopsida; Funariales; Funariaceae. The record is from RNAcentral.
AGGGAGGAAUUAGGGCACCAAUAUAGAUGAAUGGAGAUGAAAAAUAAAAAUCUCCAUUCCUAUUGGUCAAAAAUCAUGACCAAUGGGCUUUGAAGAGGCUGCCCGAGGCCAUAUUAGGGAUUAGGGUUAAUUUUUCGAGCCCAUUCGAAUAUUGAAGGCUAGGAUCAGAAGGUUUAGGUUUUUGGUUAAGAUUUUGGUGUAAUUUUUGUGUCAUUUGGGGCUUUUAUGAAGAAGUUAUAGGCACUCAAAGUUAAGAUGUUAGUUUUGGACCUACUGUCACUCUUUU